UUGAAAAGUGCCUACCCCUGGCCUGGGAUGCUUCCUCCUGGGAUGCUCCCACUUGGAACCCAACUAUUGUGCUGCAGAAGUUUAACUUAACUGUGUAAGGAGGCCAAGAGGAGGCCCUGGCUGCCAGCCAGCAUCAACUUCCAGUGACGUGAGUGUGCCAUUCUGGAACUGGAUCCUGCAGCCUCGGUGGAGCAGCCUCAGCUGAUGCCAUGUGGAACAGAGAUGAACUGCCGCUGCCGAGCUCUGCCCACGUUGCAGAAUCAUGAGCAAAUAUGGAAUCUUGCUCUGUCACCCAGGCUGGAGUGCAGUGGCAUGAUCUCAGCUUACUGCAACCUCUGCCUCCCAGGUUCAAGUGAUUCUCCUGCCUCAGCCUCCCAAGUAGCUGGGAUUACAGAUGUUGUGGAUUGGCUGUAACUCUGCUCUGGGAUCCAGGCUGAAGGAGCAGGCUCUAUCUGGAACAUUACUAGUCUCCAGGCAGAAGAAAAAGAGACAAUGGAAUGGAUGAUUGAAUGGAUGAAUGAACUCCACAGGAAGAUGAGGAAAGCCUUUAUGGAUGGAGUGAGCUUGCAGCAGAGUCUCAAAGGAAGAAGAAAUAAAACAAACUUCUACAUGGCAAAAUAAACCUCUACAUGGCAAAAUAAACCUCUACAUGGCAAAAUAAACCUCUACAUGGAUAGAGAUCUGUCUCAGACACAUUUUGGUUUCCAUGACUUCUGAAUGGCAGCAUGAGGAGCUCCAUGAACCCUCUCCCCAGUGAAAUGACCAUAAUCUCUGGAAAUUGCUUAAGAUCAAAGCCACAACUAUUUAAAGCCUUUGGAAAUUGUUUUAUGGGGAUGCGGCAAAUUAAUAAACUUUUAUUCAAGAAAAUGUACUAAGUCUCAGUAAGAACAGUGAGAGUCAAUAACAUUUGUACCACAAAAGACUUCCUCCCUCCUUCUUCUAGCUCAGCAUGAUGGAAAAGUUACUCUAAGUAGGUGAAGCCGAGAACACGGGCUACCUCUUUCCCCAGCUCUCAGUUGAGGGCUACUAUAUCUCGCUGGGAGGGCGGCUGCCAGCAUUUCUCAUACCCUCCAGCUUCAUGCUGCAAAAGCUCUACUUUGGACAAGACUGGCUGAUAAAUCUGGGGCUCACUUCGUAAACCUAGCCCCCAAUCAUAGGGCAGAAACUCCACCUCGGCCAUGGCAGGCUGAGAAUACUGGAGCCUGUGUUACCCUGGCCUCAGCUUGCUCAUGGGGCAGAGAUUCUUUACAGGAAAGGCAAGAGCAGAAGAGCAAAAGCUACUGCUCUGCCCAGCACUCUGCUCAUAAAGCCGGAUUGUCAUCCUGAGAUAAGGGGGCCACUGUCUCUGCCUGAGUUCCCCAAGCUCCGGAGCAGUGGUGCAGAGGUUUUGCCCAAGGGGAGAGGAAGGCGGUAGAUACAGAGACCUCUGAAGUUCUUCCCAAGAAAACACUUUAUGUAGAACACAAUGUGGGAAAGUUCAAGUGUAAGGGUGUUCUCAAAAACAAUGAAGAUUUUGUUGGUAAGCAAUUAAGAGGAGCCUGGGAACUCCAUUCAAGCAACAAGCUGAACUGUAGACCAGCUAGAAGUGUUCUGGAGAGAACCAGGGAAAGCAUCAGCUAAGAAGAGCCCCCUUGGUGUUAGAAUAAGUCUCAAAGACUGACCUGAAAGAUUACCCUUGCAAAGGGGCCCAAAUUUAAUGUACAAGACAGGAGCAAUUCAUGCCUCCAGGGCAUUAUCAAACACGAAAGAACAAUCAGCCAGCAGUUGGUGGAGGCUAACGGCUGUAUGUGAUACCAUAGCAGGCUGACAGCUUAACAAAGAGAUAAGGUAAAGAGAAAAGGAGACUUUUUUUUUUUUUUUUUUAAGAUGGAGUCUCACUCUGUCGCCCAGGCUGGAGUGCAGUGGCCCAAUCUCAACUCAUUGCAGCCUCUCACUCCCAGGUUCAAGUGAUUCUCCUGCCUCAGCCUCCCAAAUAGUUGAGAUUACAGGCGUGAGCCACCACACCUGGCCCAAAUUUUACUCUUCUAGGCACCUCAUGUAAGUGGAAUCAUACAGUAUUUGUCCUCUUGUGAUUGGCUAAUUUCACUUUACAUAAUGUCUUCAAGUAUCAUCCAUAUUGCAGCAUGUGUCAGAAUUGUCAGAAUUUCAUUCCUUUUUUUUUUUUUCUUGAGACAGGGUCUCACUCUGUCUCCCUGGCUGGAGUACAGUGGCACAAUCACAGUUCACUGCAACCUCAACCUCCUGGGCUCAAAUGAUCCUCCUACCUCAGCCUCCCAAGUAGAUGGGACUACAGGAGCACGCCACCAUGCCCAGCUAAUUUUUUUUUUUUUUUUUUUUUUUUUUACUUUUUUGUAGAGACAGGAUCUCACUGUAUUGCCCAGGCUGGUCUUGAACUCUUGGGCUCAAGCAAUCCUCUUGCCUCUGCCUCCCAAAAUGCUGGGAUUACAAGCAUGAGCCACUGCACCGGCCAAUUUCAUCCCUGUGAAAGCUGAAUAGUAUUCCAUUACUUGUACUUACCAAUUUUAUUUAUCCCUUCAUCCAUCAAUGGACAUUUGGGUUGUUUCCCCCUUUUGGCCAUUAUGAAUAAUGCUGCUAUGAACCCUGGCAUACAAAUCAAAUGUAACUUAAAUGCCACGUCUGCAUUGUGGGUGAUACAAGAGAUGAUUAUAGAAUAGCACAUGGAAGAACAUUUAAAAACAUAAAUUUAAAAUGUCAUAUUUAAAAAUGUAAUAGUUGGCCGGGUGCAGUGGCUCAAGCCUAUAGUCCCAGCACUCUGGGAGGCCGAGGCAGGGGAAUCACUUGAGGUCAGGAAUUCAAGACCAGCCUGGCCACUAAAAACACACACACAAAAAUUAGACAGACGUGGUGGCGCACGCGUGU
This 2880-nucleotide long non-coding RNA is filed under the name Homo sapiens (human). RNAcentral's name for it is "HSALNT0382883". Lineage: Eukaryota; Metazoa; Chordata; Mammalia; Primates; Hominidae. The record is from RNAcentral.